RNAcentral lists this ribosomal RNA (465 nucleotides) under Vreelandella stevensii. Its description in RNAcentral is "partial 16S ribosomal RNA". It matches the Rfam family "Bacterial small subunit ribosomal RNA", at positions 338 to 795 of the family's 1533-position model. The record is from RNAcentral. Lineage: Bacteria; Pseudomonadati; Pseudomonadota; Gammaproteobacteria; Oceanospirillales; Halomonadaceae.
CCUACGGGAGGCUGCAGUGGGGAAUAUUGGACAAUGGGGGCAACCCUGAUCCAGCCAUGCCGCGUGUGUGAAGAAGGCCCUCGGGUUGUAAAGCACUUUCAGUGAGGAAGAACGCCUGGUGGUUAAUACCCAUCAGGAAAGACAUCACUCACAGAAGAAGCACCGGCUAACUCCGUGCCAGCAGCCGCGGUAAUACGGAGGGUGCGAGCGUUAAUCGGAAUUACUGGGCGUAAAGCGCGCGUAGGUGGCUUGAUAAGCCGGUUGUGAAAGCCCCGGGCUCAACCUGGGAACGGCAUCCGGAACUGUCAAGCUAGAGUGCAGGAGAGGAAGGUAGAAUUCCCGGUGUAGCGGUGAAAUGCGUAGAGAUCGGGAGGAACACCAGUGGCGAAGGCGGCCUUCUGGACUGACACUGACACUGAGGUGCGAAAGCGUGGGUAGCAAACAGGAUUAGAUACCCUAGUAGUC